RNAcentral lists this ribosomal RNA (543 nucleotides) under Streptomyces sp. MWW088. RNAcentral describes it as "bacterial SSU rRNA". It matches the Rfam family "Bacterial small subunit ribosomal RNA", at positions 97 to 653 of the family's 1533-position model. The record is from RNAcentral. Lineage: Bacteria; Bacillati; Actinomycetota; Actinomycetes; Kitasatosporales; Streptomycetaceae.
GGCGAACGGGUGAGUAACACGUGGGCAAUCUGCCCUGCACUCUGGGACAAGCCCUGGAAACGGGGUCUAAUACCGGAUACUGACCCGCUUGGGCAUCCAAGCGGUUCGAAAGCUCCGGCGGUGCAGGAUGAGCCCGCGGCCUAUCAGCUUGUUGGUGAGGUAAUGGCUCACCAAGGCGACGACGGGUAGCCGGCCUGAGAGGGCGACCGGCCACACUGGGACUGAGACACGGCCCAGACUCCUACGGGAGGCAGCAGUGGGGAAUAUUGCACAAUGGGCGAAAGCCUGAUGCAGCGACGCCGCGUGAGGGAUGACGGCCUUCGGGUUGUAAACCUCUUUCAGCAGGGAAGAAGCGAAAGUGACGGUACCUGCAGAAGAAGCGCCGGCUAACUACGUGCCAGCAGCCGCGGUAAUACGUAGGGCGCGAGCGUUGUCCGGAAUUAUUGGGCGUAAAGAGCUCGUAAGCGGCUUGUCACGUCGGUUGUGAAAGCCCGGGGCUUAACCCCGGGUCUGCAGUCGAUACGGGCAGGCUAGAGUUCGGUA